AGAGUUUGAUCAUGGCUCAGGACGAACGCUGGCGGCGUGCUUAACACAUGCAAGUCGAACGAGGUGCUUCGGCACUUAGUGGCGAACGGGUGAGUAACACGUGAGCAACCUGCCCUUGGCUCUGGGAUAGCCUCCGGAAACGGGGAUUAAUACCGGACAUUCACUUUUUCCUGCAUGGGGGAGGGUGGAAAGUUUUUCGGCCAGGGAUGGGCUCGCGGCCUAUCAGCUUGUUGGGGGGGUAACGGCCCACCAAGGCGACGACGGGUAGCCGGCCUGAGAGGGCGACCGGCCACACUGGGACUGAGACACGGCCCAGACUCCUACGGGAGGCAGCAGUGGGGAAUAUUGCACAAUGGGGGAAACCCUGAUGCAGCGACGCCGCGUGCGGGAUGAAGGCCUUCGGGUUGUAAACCGCUUUCAGCAGGGACGAAGCGAGAGUGACGGUACCUGCAGAAGAAGCGCCGGCUAACUACGUGCCAGCAGCCGCGGUAAUACGUAGGGCGCAAGCGUUGUCCGGAAUUAUUGGGCGUAAAGAGCUCGUAGGCGGCCUGUCACGUCUGCUGUGAAAUCCCGGGGCUUAACCCCGGGCGUGCAGUGGAUACGGGCUGGCUGGAGGCAGGCAGGGGAGAACGGAAUUCCCGGUGUAGCGGUGAAAUGCGCAGAUAUCGGGAGGAACACCGGUGGCGAAGGCGGUUCUCUGGGCCUGUUCUGACGCUGAGGAGCGAAAGCGUGGGGAGCAAACAGGAUUAGAUACCCCCGUAGUCC
Molecule: ribosomal RNA, 765 nt
Filed under: uncultured bacterium
Lineage: Bacteria
Description: bacterial SSU rRNA
Rfam family: Bacterial small subunit ribosomal RNA
Source: RNAcentral